UAAACUAGGGAUAGAUACCCUAUUAUUAAAAUUUAAUUUAAAAUACUAAAAUAGUAAAUAAUAAUUUAUUGAAACUUAAAUAAUUUGGCGGUAUUUUAGUUCAUUUAGAGGAAUCUGUCUAAUAAUUGAUAAUCCACGAUUAAAUUUACUUAAUUUAUGAUUUUAUAUAUCGUUGUUAAAAAAAUAUUUUAAAAUAAUAAUAAUAUUUAAAAAUUAAAAUAAAAAAUUAGUUCAGAUCAAGAUGUAGAAUAUAAUUAAGAAUAUGAUGGAUUACAAUAAAUUUAUUUAAAUGGAAAAUUAAUUUGUAAUAAAAAUAUGAAAGUGGAUUUAAAUGUAAUUUUAUUUAAUAUAAUAAAACGAGAACAGGCCCGGA
RNAcentral lists this ribosomal RNA (373 nucleotides) under Deudorix epijarbas. RNAcentral's name for it is "partial 12S ribosomal RNA". The record is from RNAcentral. Lineage: Eukaryota; Metazoa; Arthropoda; Insecta; Lepidoptera; Lycaenidae.